This 837-nucleotide ribosomal RNA is filed under the name Triticum aestivum (bread wheat). RNAcentral's name for it is "partial small subunit ribosomal RNA". Lineage: Eukaryota; Viridiplantae; Streptophyta; Magnoliopsida; Poales; Poaceae. The record is from RNAcentral.
AUGGGAAUAGAUUUUGUUUUAUUCUUGAUGGUUGACGCGCGGUUGAUCUGCUACUACAGUACAGUGUGUGAGUCACUCGGGUGCGGUGAGCCUGACGACCUGCUUGCCGACGUUGCGGCCGUGGUAGAGGCCGAUGAGCGCUGCGGGCGCGGCGUCGAGCCCGUCGGCGACGUCCUCCACGUAGACGACCCUGCCCUCCUUGAUGUGCGGGAGCACCCACGCCAUGUACUCGGGGUAGAGGUGCUUGUGGUCGGGCUCGAUGAAGCCCUGCAUGCGGAUGCGCUUGGAGACGAGGGAGGUGAGGUUGCGCACGCCGACGUCGGCCUCCUUCUCGCCGGCGGUGAGGUUGUACUGCGAGAUGAGGCCGCAGACGGCGAUGCGGCCGUGCACCUUCAUGUUGAGCAGCACGGCCUCGAGCAUCUUGCCGCCGACGUUCUCGAAGUAGACGUCGAUGCCGUCGGGGAAGCGCUUCUUGAGCGCGCCGGCGAGGUCGCCGCCCUCCUCCUUGUAGUUGAACGCGUCGUGGAAGCCGAACUUGUUGAUGAGAAGGUCCACCUUCUCCUUGGACCCGGCGCUGCCGACGACGUAGCAGCCCAUGAGCCUGGCGAACUGGCCGACGAGCUGCCCCACCGCGCCGGACGCCGCCGAGACGAACACCGUCUCGCCGGCCUUGGGGGAGCAGAUGCGGUGGAAGCCCACGUAGGCGGUGAACCCCGGCAUGCCCAGGACGCCCGUGUAGUAGGACAGCGGGAGGCCGUCCUCCGGCCGGAUCUUGGUGAGCUGGCCCGCAAAGGGCGGCUUGAUGACGCUGUAGUCCUCCCACCCCGUGACGCCUGA